AGGAAUUUAGGUUAAAUAAGACCAUGAGCCUUCAAAGCUUAAAGUGGGGGUGAGACUCCCUCAGUCCCUG
This 70-nucleotide transfer RNA is filed under the name Scorpaena neglecta. RNAcentral's name for it is "tRNA-Trp". It matches the Rfam family "tRNA". From Rfam's summary of the family: Transfer RNA (tRNA) molecules are approximately 80 nucleotides in length. Their secondary structure includes four short double-helical elements and three loops (D, anti-codon, and T loops). The record is from RNAcentral. Lineage: Eukaryota; Metazoa; Chordata; Actinopteri; Perciformes; Scorpaenidae.